Molecule: long non-coding RNA, 506 nt
Organism: Schistocerca gregaria
Lineage: Eukaryota; Metazoa; Arthropoda; Insecta; Orthoptera; Acrididae
Exons: 3
Source: RefSeq, a predicted model, not a curated record
GCUGCCUGGAAUCCGCACUUGACUCUACAGCAGUAGAGGAGUGCGAAAGACAAUGGUGGGGUGCAGUUACGAGGGGACUUCAAAAAGGGACAGGAGUCAAUAGGAGAUCGCCAGCUGAAGGUGGGAGGGGCCAAUCUGUGGGUCGGCAAGAUGAAUCAGCUUUUUAUUACAAGCUUCACCCAAUGGUUUUUUUAUCUUUCGGAGCUACUCUCUACACACGAAAUUAUGGUUACAUUCGUGGAAGUUAUAUGCCGCUGCGCUCCUCUUCGCCCAUCCUCUAGCCUUACCUGGAUGGCCUUCGGCUGUUUACGGUCCUAUGUUCACUCCAGGGCAAGAAUUGCGUGCGCUAUAACUUCUUCCAUUUUAAUGUUGUUAGUGUACAUUAAUGAUUAGUGUUGCCUGUGGAACGUACUUUGUACUAUUGCUAUGUACUUAUUUAACUCAAUGGUUUUUAACCUACAGGGCUACUUCACGUGCGUGGAAGUAUGAUCAUGAUCCUCCAGUUC